GACCCGAUAGCUCAGUCGGUAGAGCAACGGACUUUUAAUCCGUAGGUCGUGGGUUCGAGUCCCACUCGGGUCA
Molecule: transfer RNA, 73 nt
Filed under: Planctomycetales bacterium
Lineage: Bacteria; Pseudomonadati; Planctomycetota; Planctomycetia; Planctomycetales
Description: tRNA-Lys
Rfam family: tRNA
About the family: Transfer RNA (tRNA) molecules are approximately 80 nucleotides in length.
Source: RNAcentral